GAAGAGCUGCCUGGGCUGCAGCCGCGGAAGCUGCGUUCUGGGGAGCGGGGAGCGUGCUCCGGCGCCUUCGGGCCGCUGCUGGAAGCCGGAACCGAGCCCGGGCCGCUGCCCCUCACCGGACGCCGCGCGCCACCGGCCCUCCGCGGGGCAGGGGCUGCUGCGAGCUCGCCGGGCGCCCUUUAGACGUAAGUCUCACCCUGCGCCCCGAGGCAGGAAGGAGCGCGUGCAGUCCCGGCCAGAAACGGCUAAUAGGAAGGGCUGAGGGGUUCUGUGUUCAAGGCAGAAGGCCGUGCGUCAGGGCGGCCCUCAGCGGAGAUGCGUGCACGGAGCGGGGAGCGCCGCUCGGGGCAGGGAAUGAAAGCGGCGCUUGAGACUGGAAAUUUAGGGAGAUGAGUUCCUUGGGAACAACGCUGAACCAUCUCACUGCCCCACCCUACCCCUUGUUAUUUUUUUUUGAGACAGGUCUCGCGCUGUCGUCCAGUCUGAGUGCAGUGACGCGAUCACGGCUCACUGCAGCCUCGACCUCCGGGGCUUACGGGUCAUCCCACCUCAGCCCUCUAAGUAGCUGGCACCACGGGCAUGCACCACCACACCCGGCUAAUUUUUUAAAAAAAGUUUUUCCGGAGAUAGGGUCUCGCUGUGUUACCCAGGCUGGUCUCGAACCCCUGGCCUGAAGCGAUCCUCCCGCCUCGGCCUCCCAAAGUGCUGGGAUUACAGGCGUGAGCCACUGCGCUCGGCUUUUCACCCCUUUCUAACGUUUUCCAUCCCUUUCUAACGUUUUCCAUACCCAGCGGUGCCCUGCCCACCCUCUCUUUAUCUCUCACUUUUCCCUCCUCUGUUUCUUCCUCGCUGAAGUCCAUUGGUGAAAGAAAAUUCAUGUGAAAGUUCUCAGAGUCGUCCUUGUCUACUCCACUACCAAAUGUUGAAGUUCUUCAAGAAUCAGUCCUUUGGAGGCAUUUAAGGAAAUCUGUUUCUCUUUUGGAUCACUAGCUGCAAAUUAAGCUAACAGAACAGGAGCUCAGCUGGUCACACACAGCAACGAAUACAGACUUUAUAAAGUUCAGAAAAGUUACCAAACAGUGGUAACCAUAACAAGUACCAACAAUGAACUAUGGGGAGGGAGGAGAAUCUGAUUUCCAGAGUUACCACAUUAUAAUACUAUUCAAAAUGUCACAUUUUUAGCAAAGAUUACAUGACAAGGAAAAACCAGAAAAGUAUGGCCCAUACACAGGUAAAAAAAGAAAUUAAUAGAAACUACCCCUGAAGAAGCACAGACUUCGGAUGUACAAAACAAAGACUUUUCAUCAACUCUUUUAGAUAUGCUAGAAGAGCUAAAGGAAACCAUGGACAGAGAACAAAAAAAUUAGGAAAGCAAUGUCUCAUCCAAUACAGAAUAUCAAUAAAGAGAUUGAAAUUGUAGAAAAGAACCAAAUAGAAAUUCUGGAGUUGAAAAGUAUUAUAACUAAAACUGAAAAUUCACUAGAGGUAUUCAGCAGCAGACUGGAGAAGUCAGAAGAAAGAAUCAACAGGCUUCAAGAUAGGUCAAUUAAGAUUAUACAGUCUGAGGAGCAGAAAGGAAAAAGAAUGAAGAAAAAUGAACAGAGCAUAAAAGACCUCUGGGACUCUAUCAAGCAUACCAGUAUAUGCAUGAGGGGAGUCCCAGAAGGAGAAGAAAGAGAGAAAGGGACAUAAUAUUUGAAGAAAUAAUGGUAGAAAAUGUCCCAGCUUUGAUGAAAUACAUGAAUCUAGAUAUUCAAGAGGCUCAAAGAACCCUAAAUAGGGUAAACUCAAAAAGACCCACACCGGAAUGCAAAAGUGAGCUGGGUGUGGUGGCACGUGCCUGUGGUCCCAGCUACUCGAGAGGCUAAGGCAGGAAAAUCGCUUGAACCCAGGAGGCAGAGAUUGCGGUGAGCCGGGAUUGCGCCAGUGCACUCCAGCUGGGCGACAGAGCGAGAUUCCAUCUCGAAAAAAAAAAAAAAAAAAAAAAAAAACUAUUGCUGCAGUCAUUCAGAUGGAAAUGGGGAAAGAAUAAUAUUAACUGAUUUCAAAAAGGACUUGAAGAUGUGAAUCAUCUAUUUUGCUGAAGAAAUCUUAACUCUUUGAAAUUACUUUUUGUUGCUGUUGUCAUACUCUUAGGUGCCAAACUGCGGUAAAUUUUUUAUCAGUGAAGUGGAAGCAUGUGUUUUGUUGUUUUGGGAAUUUUUAUCAAGUAUCUUCAGAGAAGAUUAUUUCCUGCUUUAUCUUCAAAAACUGGAAAGGAAGGGUCAAAGAAAAGACAGUAGCUGGCCGGUCAUGGUGGCUCAUGCCUGUAAUCCCAACACUUUGGGAGGCUGAGGUGGGCAGAUCACCUGAGGUUGGGAGUUCGAGGCCAGCCUGACCAACGUGGAGAAAUGCCAUCUCUACUAAAGAUGCAAGGAUUGGCCGGGCGUGGUGGUGCGUGCCUGUGAUCCCAGCUGCUCAGGAGGCUGAGGCAGGAGAAUCGCUUGGACCUGGGAGGUGGAGGUUGCGGUGAGCUGAGAUCACGCCAUUGCACUCCAGCCUGGGCAACAAGCGAAACUCUGUCUCAAAAAAAAAGAAAAGACAGUAGCUUAUGUUCAUGUCAAGCACCUCUCAUCACAGUCUAGUUCCAAGGAAAAAAUUCCCAGCGUUUUCUACAUUCGGUGCUGCGUCAUCUGAAAUCGGCACAUUCCAUGGAGGAAGGAGUCCUGCUUUGUUGCAUGUAUCCUAGGGUUUAAUGUUGGUAAAUGAGUCACUCUAGCAUUUGUAGAAGGCUCCCUGAGACUCCUGCAGCAGUCGACCAAGCCCAAGGACAUAAUUGAAUCUGGAGAGUCCUGGGGCCUUGUUUUGAAAAAGACUUGAAAUACACAUAGGAAGAAAGGC
Molecule: long non-coding RNA, 2880 nt
Filed under: Homo sapiens (human)
Lineage: Eukaryota; Metazoa; Chordata; Mammalia; Primates; Hominidae
Description: non-protein coding WAC-AS1:21
Source: RNAcentral